This is an RNA transcript of Juglans regia (Persian walnut), 927 nucleotides long. RefSeq lists it as uncharacterized. The transcript is spliced from 8 exons. NCBI's taxonomy places the organism in Eukaryota, Viridiplantae, Streptophyta, Magnoliopsida, Fagales, Juglandaceae. The record is from RefSeq and is a predicted model, not a curated record.
UUCUGCCUCAUCCUAAUAGUCAGUGUUUUGUCUCCCGUUCAUGUCUCUCCCUCUCCCUCCCGCUGUGCAGUACUACCACCCCUUCCCACGCUAUGCCACUGCCAUGUCGUCGCCGUUGUCGCUUCACUUAGUCGGCCCUCGUGUUCUUCUGCAGAUCCAGACCAUUUAUACAAUCCAGACCAAAUCAAACUCUCGAUAUGGCCAUCAUGUGGUUCCAGGUUUCCGAAAUAGAGGAUUAGGGUUUUUACCAGUGGAUUGUAGUGUUGUAUUGCAAAUCACAUGCUGACAUGUGAUGAAGGAAGUUGUACAUAUUUUAUGGUGUGUUGGGGGGGGGGGAAGAACAAGCUGGUGUACGUGUGUGGUGGUGCAGUACCUAUACCACAAAAAAAGUUAAUAAGUGUGAUCAGGACUAUGUAGAAACUAUAAUAGACUUGCGAUAUGGUUGUGCUCGCACAUAUCUGCAUGAUCUGUGUGAUCUUUCAAAUAUGGAAGAUCAGAUUGCAAAAUCCAAAGAUCAAGCUCUAAUGCAGGAAGGAUAGCUUGGACAAUGUAGAGAAGUGGAGAUAUGCAACCGAGGAGGAGAAGUGGCUGGAAGAGUACGAAAGGGCUACAGCAGUACAAGUUGUUUUAGAUGAAACUUCUAGCUCAGCAAAGGGAUUUCAGAUUCUACACUGGCACCUACCUCCAGCAAACUUGGUGGCUUGAAAAUAUAUGUUCUGGCUUGAUUGUGUGCAGUCUUAUGUUUUGGUUUGUUGUUAACUUGCAUAAGUAAUAUUUUUAGCAAAGAGUUUGAAAUAAGGACUGUAUAAUUCUGCUCAACUCAGCAUCUGGUUUAAAGGCUUGCAUGUGCUAUUGUCUGAUGCAUCCUUAACAUGCAUCAUCCGUAAGACGAGAAACAUCAAUAUGAGUCCUUAGACAAUUGUAUCU